GGGCUUGUAGCUCAGCUAGAGUACCGAGACUCAAAAUAGAGAACUCGAAACUUCUGAAAUGGCUAGAGCGUCGGACUUUUAAUCCGCAGGUCGAGAGUUCAAAGGCUUUUACACUGGUAAAUGAAAAUUCUCUCCAAGCCCG
This 142-nucleotide transfer RNA is filed under the name Microcaldota archaeon. Its description in RNAcentral is "tRNA-Lys". The record is from RNAcentral. Lineage: Archaea; Nanobdellati; Microcaldota.